Lolium perenne is the source of this 1341-nucleotide long non-coding RNA. RefSeq lists it as uncharacterized. The record is from RefSeq and is a predicted model, not a curated record. NCBI's taxonomy places the organism in Eukaryota, Viridiplantae, Streptophyta, Magnoliopsida, Poales, Poaceae.
UAAGCUCCCAGGGUUGCCGGCGCCUGUGAGCGAUCGGAGAGUCGCUAUCGCUGGGCCUACAUAGAGUUGAGUUAGCGCUUGACAGCCGCAGCAUGUGUCGCUUUCGUUUUGACUUUUGACCAUGGUACAAGUGUUCUAGAGAACGCGGAGUUAGGCGGUUCCCCUAUAGUCGGUACUUCAGCUGAGGCGUGGAGAAUCAACUUCCUCAUCUCUGUCAGUUUUUUUUCUCUUCAUAAUUUCGUUGCUCCAGCUUCUCAGGCCGGAGUUUGGCGCACGUGGGCCGCGGCGGCGCAUGGGUAGGGCCGAUGCCGUGGAUGGAGUUGGUGGUGAGCGCGUCUCUGAUCAUGUGGAUGUGGGGGUGGUUGCUGCAGCGACGCUGGCGGAGGGGCAAGCGGCGACAAUGAUCUGCUCCAGUCUUCUUUGCUCGCUAAUUGUCCGCCUCCGACCUUGCCGGAUGCCCCCGAGCUCGGCGUCGGAGAAGGACGACUACCCGGGCGCGACGCAGGGCCCCGGGGCAGGCCACCUAUUAUUCGGUCACGGGUUGCCCCAGGCCUCCGUUAUCCAGGAUGACUGGAUGAGCUGUCUUGGUCGGGGAUUAAUGAAGUUCCGGGGUCGGCGAGCCGGCGGGGUGCUGGACGGGUCGCCGUCUUAGCUCGGCAGAAUCCGGGAUAAGGAGAGUAUACACUGUAUACAGCUCUGUACUGCUUUGUACUCUGUUUGCGAUGAACACAGUAAUUUUCGGCCUGACUUCACUCACAUUUUCUAUUUCAGCAGAGAGAACAGACAAUCUCAAUCCAAUGGAACGAGUUGCUGGAUGACGGUGCGACUUUGUUUCGGAAGAAGCUUUGAUGUCCAUCGUUCCAGAAUCAGAUGAAUUGCAUAGUUAUGCAGCUUACGCUAUCUGUUUCCCUGGUAAUCCUGUCAUCCUCAUCGACUGAAAGAAUAAUUAUUUUGGAGGGCCGGAUUGCUCACAGAGGAGGAAGAAAUGCCGAAACGAAGCUUGGCGGCUCUCAUUCUUGAAGGUGGAAUAUCUCGAGACUGUUGAUUCCUUCAUGUCUUUGCAGCCUCACAACAGGAGAUUAGUUAUAACAUUUUGGUCCAUCUUUACUUAGGGUGUGUGCCUUAAAGACAUACUGAUAAACACUACAUAUUUAGAAGUGGGUUAAAUGCUUGCUUACGGCCGGCUGAUAGUUUUGAGCAUGUAAUGCCUUGAAACGAAUUAGUUUUUGCUUCUAUUGGAUAUUUAGGCAUGUUAAAAUGUCUAUCAGAUCAACUCUAUGAUAUGGGUUUCUGAAAAAAAAAACUGUAUGAUAUGAUUGUUCAUGGGUAACGUUUUGAAUA